This 497-nucleotide ribosomal RNA is filed under the name uncultured bacterium. RNAcentral's name for it is "partial 16S ribosomal RNA". It matches the Rfam family "Bacterial small subunit ribosomal RNA", at positions 28 to 507 of the family's 1533-position model. The record is from RNAcentral.
GAUGAACGCUGGCGGCGUGCCUAAUACAUGCAAGUCGAGCGAACAGACGAGGAGCUUGCUCCUCUGACGUUAGCGGCGGACGGGUGAGUAACACGUGGAUAACCUACCUAUAAGACUGGGAUAACUUCGGGAAACCGGAGCUAAUACCGGAUAAUAUAUUGAACCGCAUGGUUCAAUAGUGAAAGACGGUUUUGCUGUCACUUAUAGAUGGAUCCGCGCCGCAUUAGCUAGUUGGUAAGGUAACGGCUUACCAAGGCAACGAUGCGUAGCCGACCUGAGAGGGUGAUCGGCCACACUGGAACUGAGACGCGGUCCUGACUCCUACGGGAGGCAGCAGUAGGGAAUCUUCCGCAAUGGGCGAAAGCCUGACGGAGCAACGCCGCGUGAGUGAUGAAGGUCUUCGGAUCGUAAAACUCUGUUAUUAGGGAAGAACAAAUGUGUAAGUAACUAUGCACGUCUUGACGGUACCUAAUCAGAAAGCCACGGCUAACUACGUG